CGACACGGGGAGGUAGUGACGAAAAAUAACAAUACAGGACUCUAACGAGGCCCUGUAAUUGGAAUGAGUACAUUCUAAAACUCUUAACGAGUAUCCAUUGGAGGGCAAGUCUGGUGCCAGCAGCCGCGGUAAUUCCAGCUCCAACAGUGUAUGCUAAAGUUGUUGCGGUUGAAAAGCUCGUAGUUGGAUUUUGGGCGGGCGCGGUCGGUCCGUCGCAGGGCGUGUACUGGCCGCGCUCGCCUCGACGUCGGUUCUCCGUCGGUGCUCUUGACUGAGUGUCGGCGGUGGCCGAGAAGUUUACUUUGAAAAAAUUAGAGUGUUCAAAGCAGGCUGGUCGCCUGUAUAGUGUUGCAUGGAAUAAUGGAAUAGGACCUCGGUUCUAUUUUGUUGGUUUUCGGAGCGCGAGGUAAUGAUUAAGAGGGACAGACGGGGGCGUCCGUACUCUGCCGUUAGAGGUGAAAUUCUUGGAUCGGCGGAAGACGAACUACUGCGAAAGCAUUCGCCAAGAAUGUUUUCUUUAAUCAAGAGCGAAAGUCAGAGGUUCGAAGACGAUCAGAUACCGUCCUAGUUCUGACUAUAAACGAUGCCAACUAGCGAUCGGGAGGCGUUACCAUGACGACCUUCCCGGCAGCUUCCGGGAAACCAAAGUCUUUGGGUUCCGGGGGAAGUAUGGUUGCAAAGCUGAAACUUAAAGGAAUUGACGGAAGGGCACCACCAGGAGUGGAGCCUGCGGCUUAAUUUGACUCAACACGGGGAAACUCACCCGGCCCGGACACAGGUAGGAU
RNAcentral lists this ribosomal RNA (785 nucleotides) under Symplegma rubra. RNAcentral's name for it is "SSU rRNA". It matches the Rfam family "Eukaryotic small subunit ribosomal RNA", at positions 452 to 1240 of the family's 1831-position model. Lineage: Eukaryota; Metazoa; Chordata; Ascidiacea; Stolidobranchia; Styelidae. The record is from RNAcentral.